This 468-nucleotide ribosomal RNA is filed under the name uncultured bacterium. RNAcentral describes it as "partial 16S ribosomal RNA". It matches the Rfam family "Bacterial small subunit ribosomal RNA", at positions 28 to 507 of the family's 1533-position model. The record is from RNAcentral.
GACGAACGCUGGCGGCGUGCUUAACACAUGCAAGUCGAACGGAAAGGCCCUGCUUUUGUGGGGUGCUCGAGUGGCGAACGGGUGAGUAACACGUGAGUAACCUGCCCUUGACUUUGGGAUAACUUCAGGAAACUGGGGCUAAUACCGGAUAGGAGCUCCUGCUGCAUGGUGGGGGUUGGAAAGUUUCGGCGGUUGGGGAUGGACUCCCGGCUUAUCAGCUUGUUGGUGGGGUAGUGGCUUACCAAGGCUUUGACGGGUAGCCGGCCUGAGAGGGUGACCGGGCACAGUGGGACUGAGAUACGGCCCAGACUCCUACGGGAGGCAGCAGUGGGGAAGAAUGCACAAUGGGCGGAAGCAUGAUGCAGCAACGCCGCGUGCGGGAUGACGGCCUUCGGGUUGUAAACCGCUUUCGCCUGUGACGAAGCGUGAGUGACGGUAAUGGGUAAAGAAGCACCGGCUAACUACGUG